Non-coding RNA from Pelodiscus sinensis (Chinese soft-shelled turtle), 1521 nucleotides. Lineage: Eukaryota; Metazoa; Chordata; Testudines; Trionychidae. The record is from RefSeq and is a predicted model, not a curated record.
GCAUUAUUUCAAAAUAACUAUUUCAAAAUUAGAUAUUUCGAAAUAACACUGUAGUGCAGACAUACCCUCAGUCUGACCUGCCACCUGAAGCUUGCAGGGUCACCAGCUGCUGCAAAUGUCUCAGCAAGGGAAGCAGAGUAGAGGAAACAAUCUCCCCAGAUAUCGAACGUAACCAUAGAAUAUAGCCAAAAAGGGAUUGACACACUGAGCAGAAUUGUUAAUGUUUAACGAAUGGAAAUAAAGUUUUGAAUUCUCCUCCAAAAGGGACUGGUAGAAUUUGUCUGCCAUUGUGGACGCAGCAGGGAAAAGAAAAUAGAAGAAACUUCAAAAGGCAGAGCAUCCUUCUCCUGUCUGUGACUAACAAGUGUAGCUGUGUCUCCUAGCUACAAUCAAGCUGAGAUACCCAUCAUUACACAUAUGUGGACCUUAGGACUAAAAAUAAAUGCUGAGCCCAUAUUCAUAGAGUUCCUAGAAGACAAGGUAGCUUGAAUAAGGCUGAAGAGAGGGGAGAGCUCCGUCUGCCACCAGGGGCGGCUGAGAGGAACUGAGCGGGGCCAGACUGCGCACUACAGAUGAAAGUCACAAACAGCCUCUAGUGCUGCUUGUGCAUGCGCUGUCCGGCGGAACAUGGCGAUGUGAAGCCUCCGAUUCACAGCGCCGGGACGAGCCUGACACCAGACGUGGAGCACCCACGGGGACUACCCGAAGAAGAACUGCUACUUAUAGGGUUCCUGGGCUGGGACCCAAAGGAGUGGGCGGGUCUGGGUCCUCCCCACAUCCUAGCAACCACACCAGGGGCCAAAAGAAGAGACCUGGUCCCAGGCCAUAUACUGGACACUUCCUCUCUGCAGACAGUCGAGUAGAAACUACAAGACUCCCCUCCGCCACCGAGGGGUGCUCAUAAGAAGGGCAGAGCCCUUUACAGUUGAGGAGAAGAGCUUGCUCUGUCUGUGACCGAGGGUGGCAACGAAGGAACUGGUGAGAGCCAAGCCGCGCACACGAGAGAAAGGGUGAGAACAUGACAAGACGCUGACUACACAUGCGUGGUCCGGAUGACUACUGCUAUUGAAGACUCUGAUCUGUGGCACCGGGACGAGCCCAACACCUACAGUGGAGCAUCCACAGGGGUAUCUCUCAAAGUAGAAGUAAUUAUUCCACUCUACUCACUUGAUUAGGCCUCAACUGAAGUACUGUGUUUAGUUCUGAGCACCACAUCUUAGGAAAAAUAUGGACAAAUUGGAGAAGGUCCAGAGAAGAGCAACCAAAAUGAUUAAAAGUCUAGAAAAUAUGACCUACGAGGAAAGACUGAAAGAAUUGGAUUUGUUUAAUUUGGAAAAAAUAACGAAGAGGGAACAUGAUAAUAGCUUUCAAGCACCAAAAAGGUUGCGACAAGGAGGAUCAAGAAAAAUGAUUCUCCUUAACCUCUGAUGGUAGGACAAGGACCAAUUAUCUUAAAUUGUUGUAAGGGAAGUUUUGGUUGGCCAUUAGGAAAAGCUUCCUUCUUGUCAGGGUAUAUAAGCA